Arachis ipaensis is the source of this 924-nucleotide non-coding RNA. The record is from RefSeq and is a predicted model, not a curated record. Lineage: Eukaryota; Viridiplantae; Streptophyta; Magnoliopsida; Fabales; Fabaceae.
CACUCACCCACUACCAGUCCCUCUCCCCCAUAUACGCACAACACAGCCUUAGCAAACCAAAAAGGAAAGAAAAGAAAACGGGGAUUAAGGGAGACGAGAGAAAGAAGGUUGCGAUCGGAGAGGAGAGAGUGCUGCGAGCCAGGGACAACGCAAGAAAGGAGAGGAGCCGUCGCGCUCGGCCGCUGCCAGCUCCGUCGCAUCCUGCGCCGCGCCAUCGCCGCCCAGACCGCGUCCGUUCCGUUCAGCCACCGCCAUUGCCAUCAUGUGGGUGAGAAGGAGAAGCUGAGAAAGGCUCAGCUGUGAGAACCAGAGGCGCGUGAGAGAGGGAAGACGCGAUCGACGAAGGGAAGGAAAAAGGGUUUCACCACCGCGGUGUUCUGCCACCACUGCUGCCUCCGAUCGGAGCCCUAGCCACCGGAGCCCCUACCGUCACCAUUGCAUGUGGGGGGAGGAGAUGACGUUGCCGAUUCUGAUUCUGCCCAAGUCCCUCAUCGUCAUUGGAAUCACGAACCAGAGGCGGAAGGAGGCGUUCCUCCAUCGCCAGCCAGCCACCAAGCUAUGACCAAAUUGGAGACAUUAUUUCUAUUACCUUCCGUUUUGAGUCAUUAUUGUCAUUGUUCGGUGUUGCCACCCUUGCUUAGAGCUAUUGAAUGUUUCUGCUGCGAGAAUAUUACUAGAAUCGCUGCUGCUGCCACGAAUUGGGGAUAAAGGGGAUUCCUGCGUCAAAUCUUGCUAUUGCGACAUCGAGGUAGGGGGUCCGUUUGUAAAAUGAAAGCUUUUAAAUUAAGAAUGCUCAAAGAUUUUAUUCAGUAAUGCAAAUAACUUAUAAAUGUUAUGUAUGGCUAAUUGAUGAAAGUCAGAAUUGUUGGUAAUAGCGAAUAUGAUUUAUUGUGAUAAGAUUGAUUUGUUGCUGUGUUUGAGGAU